Transfer RNA from Aspergillus ruber CBS 135680, 72 nucleotides. It matches the Rfam family "tRNA". Rfam says of the family: Transfer RNA (tRNA) molecules are approximately 80 nucleotides in length. Their secondary structure includes four short double-helical elements and three loops (D, anti-codon, and T loops). The record is from Rfam. Lineage: Eukaryota; Fungi; Ascomycota; Eurotiomycetes; Eurotiales; Aspergillaceae.
AAGAAAUUAGCUCAGCGGUAGAGCGACCACUUUACACGUGGCUGGUCAGGUGUUCAAAUCACCUAUUUCUUA